Molecule: ribosomal RNA, 108 nt
Filed under: Felis catus (domestic cat)
Lineage: Eukaryota; Metazoa; Chordata; Mammalia; Carnivora; Felidae
Also listed under: 2 other names
Source: RNAcentral
GUCUACGGGCCUCCCACCCUGAACGCACCCGAUCUCGCCUGAUCUCGGAAGCCAAGCAGGGUCAGGCCUGAUUAUUACUUGCAUGGGAGAAAUGUGCUACCUAAAACU